RNAcentral lists this unclassified non-coding RNA (334 nucleotides) under soil metagenome. RNAcentral's name for it is "partial contains 5.8S ribosomal RNA, internal transcribed spacer 2, and large subunit ribosomal RNA". The stretch from base 1 to 120 matches the Rfam family "5.8S ribosomal RNA", at positions 35 to 154 of the family's 154-position model. The record is from RNAcentral.
GAUGAAGAACGUAGCGAAAUGCGAUAAGUAAUGUGAAUUGCAGAAUUCAGUGAAUCAUCGAAUCUUUGAACGCACAUUGCGCCCGCCAGUAUUCUGGCGAGCAUGCCUGAUCGAGCGUCAUUUCAACCAUCAAGCCCCAGGCUUGUGUUGGAGCCCUGCGGCUGCCGCAGCCUCCCAAAACCAGUGGCGGGCUCGCUAUCACACCGAGUGCAGUAGUUUACUCUUCGCUCAGGGCGUGUGGCGGGUGCUAGCCGUGAAACCCCCAACUUCUCAAGGUUGACCUCGGAUCAGGUAGGAAUACCCGCUGAACUUAAGCAUAUCAAUAAGCGGAGGA